Long non-coding RNA from Aedes aegypti (yellow fever mosquito), 1388 nucleotides. RefSeq lists it as uncharacterized. The record is from RefSeq and is a predicted model, not a curated record. Lineage: Eukaryota; Metazoa; Arthropoda; Insecta; Diptera; Culicidae. The transcript is spliced from 2 exons.
GUGAAUUUAAAGUUUGCAGAGUUUGUGAAGAUUGAUUAUCUCCCUAAAGUUUUGCUCUAUGUGUGAACAAUGUUGUGCAAUCGGUUAGUCGUCACAGGUGCCGGGAGUGUUUUAAAUGAUUCAUGCUAAUUAACAACUUCGAACGUCGCACAGUGGCGUGUCUCCAUACAAAAGUCGGUCAAAACUUCAAAAAUUGGUGAAAAUUUGAUCGUUGCCAAGAUGGUAUGCUAAUAUCAUUUUUGGUACUAUUUUAUUACAUACCGUGUGUAUUUUUUGUUACAGGGUCAAUCCAGAUAUUUCUUAAAACAUUAAUUCAAGUAUUUUUCCAGUUUCUUUCAUUUUUAUCUUCGGAUUCCUCAAGCAAUUUCUACAAGAUUUUAUUUAUUAUGCUCAAAGGAUAUUCAACCUCCAGAGCUCUCAUCAGAUUUUUUUUUCAAAACCGUCUAACAAUAACUUGGUGAUUAUUGAUGUUUCCAGGAAUAACUCUAAAAAAAAUUCUAGAUGUUUCUAUUUCAUUUUUAGUGGAUUUUUCUACAAAAAAAUAUCAGGAUCAAAUGACAGAGGAAUCUGGGAAAAUCCUAAUAAAUCUCCACGAGAAAUUUCUCGAGCAAUUCGCAAAAAUUACUAAGUGGAUUCGUGAAGGAAUUCCUGAGAAAAUAGUUGAAAGAAUUGGCAAAAACCAUUACAGCAGACACAUCUCCUUAUUUAAAAAAAUCUCUAACAACUCAAUUUGCGUUAAAUUGAAUUGAAAAUCUGUUUUUUCGUUUAAAGUAUUUGCAGCAUAAGAAAAAUAUUUGAAUGUAAAAUUUUGAUAUAAAUUUGAGGUUUUUUCCGGCUUUCCGUCACUGUGCGUCGUGACAAGGGCUACCUACAAAACAACAAAGGGAUCGAGGUCGAUACAAAACAGUAAAUGUCUUGUCUGUCGCUUCGGUCGCUUCGCGUUCAGUUGGUGCAUAGAAGAGUAAAGUGCAGCCGCCCAUCCCGCAGAUAGUGCUCCUAGUAGCAAAUUUCGAUAGAUGGCCCGUCAUUCUAUGGUAAUGUGUGUGUGUUCUUCGGGUAGAUUGUGUUAAAAAAUGCCAAAAUCAAUGAAUGACUAAAAAGGGUCAUAAAUUUGUGCUGAUAACAACAGAAGCUGCUACAGAAUGUCGCCGUAUCUUUGAAAUGGCAUAUUGGCGUUAUCAGUGUCCUGGUUUGGCGUCAACGUUCUAAGUGGCAAGUGAACCUAUACGUAUGUGUCGAUUAUAUUGGCAAAGUUUCUGCUUUACGACCGGGAGCGUAUGUGUCCCAUAGAAAAGAAAAUCUGGGCGGAAAUUGACACCUGCUGGGCUUUCCACGGUUGUUGUGCAUGGUGGUGAUAAAAGCGCACAUUUCAAUAGUUGCGCGAAAGG